GCCGGGCGUGAUGGUGCAGGCCUGUAAUCCCAGCAUCUUGGGAGGCUGAGACAGGAGGAUUGCUAGUUCAAAGCCAGUCUCAGCAAAAGUGAAGUGCUAAGCAACUCAGUGAGACCUGUCUCUA
This 124-nucleotide small RNA is filed under the name Marmota monax (woodchuck). The record is from RNAcentral. Lineage: Eukaryota; Metazoa; Chordata; Mammalia; Rodentia; Sciuridae.